CAAUAGCGUAUAUUAAAGUUGUUGCAGUUAAAAAGCUCGUAGUUGGAUUUCUGGUAGGAGCGACCGUUCCGAACUUGAUUGUUCGUGUAUUGUGUUUUCUCCAGCCAUCCUUGUGGAGAACUUUUCUUGCAUUAAUUUGUAGGGAUUGGGACCCGCAUCGUUUACUGUGAAAAAAUUAGAGUGUUUAAAGCAGGCAAUCGCUUGAAUACAUUAGCAUGGAAUAAUAAGAUAGGACUUUGGUACUAUUUUGUUGGUUUGCAUACCAAAUUAAUGAUCAACAGGAACAGUUUGAGGAUAUUCGUAUGAACAUGUCAGAGGUGAAAUUCUUGGAUUUUGAUCAGACGAACUACUGCGAAAGCAUUUAUCAAGGAUGUUUUCAUUAA
Molecule: ribosomal RNA, 383 nt
Filed under: uncultured eukaryote
Lineage: Eukaryota
Description: partial 18S ribosomal RNA
Rfam family: Eukaryotic small subunit ribosomal RNA
Source: RNAcentral